This 5066-nucleotide long non-coding RNA is filed under the name Nicotiana benthamiana. Its description in RNAcentral is "long non-coding RNA (NBEN_LNC005375)". The record is from RNAcentral. Lineage: Eukaryota; Viridiplantae; Streptophyta; Magnoliopsida; Solanales; Solanaceae.
UCCAAAUAGCCAACUUGACAAAUUAAAUAAAAGAUACAAUACAAAAAAUGGCUAAUACAAUGAAAAUGGUUAACUAUUUAUGCUUAGACUUAUUAGCCAAAUACUCCAUUAGCUCAACACCUCCACUCUCCCCCCCUCCCAAGCUGGAGGGGGAGACCACCUUCAACUUGUACAAAAGAUCAUGAUGUAGCACCUGGAAGGGGUUUAGUGAGAACAUCAGCCAACUAGUCAGAAGAAGCCACAUGAGAAAGCUUAAUCAAACCAUCAUGGAGCUUAGUUCACAUGAAAUGACAAUCAACCUCAAUAUGCUUCGUUCGUUCGUGAAAAACAGGAUUUCUAGCAAUGUGCAAAAGCAGCCUGAUUGUCACAAAAACUAAAAUGGGAAGGGAAACACAAAAUCCAAAGUCACACGUUAGCCUAGAAAACCAAGUAAGUUCCGCUACCACCUUACUCGAGGCCAUGUAUUCUACCUCGGCAGAAGAUAGAGAGACAACUGGUUAUUUUUUAGAUUUCUAGCUAAUGAGACAACCACCCAGAAUAACACAAAAUCCUGUGACAAACCGGCGAGUGUCAGGGCAAGUAGCCCGGUCACUGUCUGAAUACGCAUGGAUAGAGAUAUCACGAGAAGCAUAAUAGAAGAGACCCAAAGUAACAGUUUCUUCGAGAUAUCUCAACACAUGGAGAGUAGAAGCCAUGUGGGAAACCUUGAGAAUCUUCAAAAACUGACUCAAAUGUUGUACAACAAAGCAUAUGCCAGGGCGAGUAUGGAUCAAGAGAAGAAGCUUGCCUACAAGACUCCUAUAUUGAUCACGGAAAGGUAAUAGAUCACCAACAUCUGCAUGCAGCUUACAGUUGAGCUCUAAGGACAGACAACAGGUAAAACAUCUACAAUCAAACUACUAAAGUAAACCAGAGACAAACUUUUUCUGAUUGAGAAGAACCCUACCAGGAACAAUAGAAACCUCAAUACCCAAAAAAUAAUGCAAAAAGCCCAAGUCCUUGAACAUAAAUUGAGCAUCCAAGAAAUUCUUUAAGGAAGAAAUUUCACUAGUAUCAUCCCCAAUAAUAAUAAUGUCAUCUACAUAAACUGCUUAAAGAAUCAAUCUGCCAGGAGUAACCUUGAUGAACAAUGAAUAGUCAUUGAGUGAAUGAGUAUAACCCCUAGAAUAGAGGGCUUGAGAGAGCUUGGCGUACCAGUUUCUUGAUGUCUGUCAAAGGCCAUAGAGGUACUUUCUCAAUUUGCAAACAAGAGGGGUAGAACUGGAAGGAACAGAAAUAGACAAACCCUGGAGUAACUUCAUAUAGACUUCCUCAUCUAGAUCUACAUGAAGAAAAGUAUUGUUGACAUCUAACUGAGAAAGAGACCAAUUAUGUUUGAUAGCUACAAUUAUUAGCCAUUUAAUAGUGGCAUUUUUACUACAUGAUAAAAGGUUUUUGUGAAGUCAACACCUUCAACCUGGGUGUUCCUCCUAAUAACAAAUUUUUAUAUUUCUACACUCCCAUCAGCCUUGUACAUUUCGUAGACCCACUUGCAACCUAUAGGUUUUUUACCAGAAGGUAAAGGCACGAUGUCUCAAGUGUGAUUUGCAUCCAAAGCAUCAAAUUCCUUCUCAUGGCAUCUUGCCAUGCUGGAACUGAGGCAGCUUGAGAAUAAUUGAAAGGUUCAAUUUCUACCGGAAGCAAAUAACAAGAACCAGAAAAUGAAGGAAGUUGGCAAACAUAAUCCUUCAAAUAAGAAGGAGUAGUGUGUUUCUUGGAAUACUUUCUAAGUACUGGAUGAUGAGGAGAUGACUGACUAGGCAGAUCGUGAUGAAAAGAAUGUAAAGGAGAAUGGAUAGGAGAAGGAGUAUCAGGUUCAAGGAUAGUAACAGUUGAGUUAGGAGAGACACGAGGAGAAGAAGUAGGAGAAGAUGAAGAAGGUAUAGGAUCUUGAUAAAUGGUAGAAGAAGGAUAAGAAGAAAGUACAGUGGAAGGAACAGAAAGUAUAGUGGAAGGAACAGAAGAAGCAGAAGUAGCAAAAGGGAAGCUGGUUUCAUGGAAAAUCACAUCCCUAAAAAUGAAGCAUUUCUUAGUGGUGAGAUUGUAUAAUUUGUAACAUUUUUUAACAAAAGGAUAACCCAGAAAGACACAUGGAAUAGCCCUAGGUUGUAGUUUGUCUCUUUGAGGAAUAGGAACAAUGGCAUAAGCCAGACAUCCAAAGGUUCUUAAGUGGGAAUAAGUAGGAAGUUUUCCAUAUAAUACCUCAUAGGAUGACUUGUUUUUAAUAAUUCUGGAUAGUAUUCUGUUUAGUAAAUAUGUGGCAGUUAAAAGAUAAUCUCCCCAAAAGGUGAUAAGCAGUUUGGAUUGAAACAAUAAGGAUAUACAUGCUUAAAGAAGUAUUUUGUGUUUCCUUUCUACAACCUCAUUUUGUCGUGGGGUGUGUGGACAGGUAGUUUGGUGAAUGAUACCAAUUUGACUAAAAAAGAAAGAGCCAACAGUGAUGGAGCCCAGUUCCAAUGCAUUGUCACUUCUAAUGGUCUGGGCAUGUGUAUGGAAUUGAGUUUGGACCAUUGUUAUAAAAGCCUUGAUCAUAGAGAAAGCAUUAUUUUUCGAUGCCAAUAGAUGAGUCCAGGUGGCUCUUUAAAAAUCAUCAAUAAUGGUAAGAAAAUACCUUGAACCAGAUGAACUAGUUCCCCUUGUUCAACAUGAAUCAACUGAAAAGGUCUAGCAGUACUAAUAGAACUAUCAAGAAAAGGAAGUCUAGUUUGUCUAGCCAUAGGGCAAACAGAACAAGGACAAAACUAUCUAGAAGAAAGAAAAGAAGACAGAACAUGAAUAUGUUUAAUAUUUGCAAAAGUAAUAUGUGCCAAUCUUUGAUGCCAAAUCAAAUUCAUAGCAGCAUUAUUUCUCAGAGAAGAACUAAGGCUAGAGACAUUUGUACGACUGGAAAGAGAAAUAGAUUUGCAAGAGUCUAUUAUAGGACAUAAAUAAAUAGUGUUGCAUGAAUUUGAAGUCGAAGGAAUAGAAGAAUCUGAUGGUUGCACCUAAGUGGACUUGUACAAGUCAUCCUCCUCUUUAACAAGAUCCAAAGGCAUCUUCAGAGAAGGGGCAUGUGACAUGUGCAACAAACAAGAAAUGGCAGUAAAUAACUCUAUGUACUGUAGUUGUUUGGUUAACAUGUGAAUAGAGAUUAGGUUAUGUUGAAAUUAAGGAAAAAAUAACACAUUAUGAAGGGUUAUUGAUAGAGUCAAAGAAAAAGAACCAGUGGAGGUUACUUUCACUUUGUAUCCAUUAUGAAGAAUUACAAGGUAUGGAAUGGUUAAGGGUGUGAUGUCAAAAAGUAAUUCUUUAUUAGAAGUCAUGUGAUUAGAAGCACCUGAAUCUAUUAUCCGCGUAACAGAAUGGAUUUCAGUAAGCAAGAAAAGCUUAGGAUUAGAAAAUGGGCUUUUAAUUAAUAAAGUACUAGCAAAAUUAGCAGAGCAUAUGAGAUUGGCUUGAGACUUGGAAGAAUCCCCCAUAUGAGACUGUUGUAAGAGGUUAAUCAACUGAUCAUAUUGCUGCUUGAUCAGACUUGGGAUUAUGGAUCCCUGACCAUUAAUAUUGGAAGCAACAACAGCAGGAUUAGUUCCCUCAUCCAAAGACCCAACAAAUUUUAGGAUAUUACCCUCAAAGUUAGCGUGAACUGCAGUAGAUACAUGAGUUGCAGUAUAUUUAACCUUGUUAAACUUUGGACUUUGGGGAUACCCGUGUAGUUUAUAAUACUUGUUAAUGAAAUUACCAGAUUUCUUGUAGUACUUACCGAAAAAAGGUGCUCUAUUCUGAUCAAAAUUAACUCUUGGUGCAUAUGAUUUGAGAGGAGUGGGAUUGGAGUCUUGCUAGUAUUGAAACCAAAACCAAAAGUAGGCCUACUUUGUGUAAUAACAUUGAAUGACAUAGAGUCGGGUUGAAUUGAGUUGGGCUGAACUUGUCUCUGUUUUUCAUCAUUUAGAAGAAUAUUAUAAGCAUUGUCAAGGCUAGGAGGAGGUUGCAUCAUAAGAAGAUUACUCCUCACCCUCGUAUAUGAUUCAACCUUAUGAGGAAUUGAAAUAGCUUAUUAUCCUCAUCUUCUUGCAAAAUACCAGGCUUUGCAGCACAAACACACCUUUGACCAUGGUUAGCACAUAUCACUCCUGAUUCAUCCCAUAACCUCUUCAAUUUAUUGAAAUAUGAGGCUAUAUCUAAAGAACCUUCGGAAGUGUAGGCAAGGUCUCUUUAUAACUCAAUUAUUUGGUCCUAUUUGCAGUCUCAUACCUAGUUUGUAAUUGGACCCAAAUACUCCAAGCAAUUUCAUAUAUUAUACACUCUCAGCUAUCUCAGGGGAUAAGGAGGCUGUCAACCAUGAGAUUACCAUGUUGUUGCACCUAUCCCAUAAUUUCCGUUUAGCCCCAUCAGUAACAUGUCGAGAUCAUGUACCAUCAACAAAAGCUAUUUGUUUUUAGCAGACAAAGCGACUAUUAUUUUUCCCCUCCAACCCCCAAAACCAGUACUCAAAAAAGGAACAGGAACUAAUGAAAUUCCAGGAAUAUCAGAUAAAUGUACAAAUAACGGACUUGAAGGACCAAGAGAUAAAUUAUCAAUGGAACCCAUGUCUAUCACACAGUACCAAUAGAUUGACAAAUAUAGAGAAUAAAGUCACAAAAGAAAUUCCAAUAGAAAAAUUGCAUGCAACAGUCCUAAAAGCAAGGAUAAGAACGAAUUUAAGCUUCUUCGCUACCGGAGAAGAAGGGCCUUCAAAUAAUAGCUAACCUAGCUUCAAUUGCUGGGCAGCUCAAAUUCUUCAAACUUCAACAAAAAAUGUCGGAAAUAACCCUAACGCUGGUCUCAAAAUCCAAAUCGGCGGAAAGAAUUUUUUCUCUGAAAGAAUAGAAAUACCUGAUUUUCAAACUAUCGGAGAUCGAAAAUCAAUCAAAAUUGAACGAGGUAGAUCGGAAGCUCAAAAUACACCAGAAUCGGUGCUUUGAUACCAUGAAAACAUUGUGAUUUGAGUGAGAAAUGAGAAAUUUUGUUUUAGGAUUUUAGAGAGAGAAACGGGUUUCUUCCAUUUUCUG